This 253-nucleotide ribosomal RNA is filed under the name uncultured bacterium. Its description in RNAcentral is "partial 16S ribosomal RNA". It matches the Rfam family "Bacterial small subunit ribosomal RNA", at positions 524 to 776 of the family's 1533-position model. The record is from RNAcentral.
GACAGAGGGUGCAAACGUUGUUCGGAAUUACUGGGCGUAAAGCGCGUGUAGGCGGCAAGGCAAGUCGGAUGUGAAAGCCCGCGGCUCAACCGUGGAAGUGCACUCGAAACUGCCUAGCUAGAGUCUCGGAGAGGAAGGUGGAAUGCUUGGUGUAGAGGUGAAAUUCGUAGAUAUCAAGCAGAACACCUGUGGCGAAGGCGGCCUUCUGGACGAUGACUGACGCUGAGACGCGAAAGCGUGGGGAGCAAACAGG